RNAcentral lists this long non-coding RNA (270 nucleotides) under Mytilus galloprovincialis (Mediterranean mussel). The record is from RNAcentral. Lineage: Eukaryota; Metazoa; Mollusca; Bivalvia; Mytilida; Mytilidae.
UUGAAAACUUGGGGCUCCAACACAUUCAAUUAGCUAUAUUCAGGAAAAUCAUUUAAUGUCUAAGCAGUGUCAAAUUGUGCUUGCAGCAACUUAAAUAAACAUUGUUUCAAGUUUCUUCCGGUGAAAUAUAAAUGCACGACAUACAAAUCAUGUAACCUCAAAUCAAGAACAAAUUCUCUUAUGUAAAGACAAUUACGUUUACGUGCAAAUUUCGUAAGCUGAGUGAUUUCCUGAUCGUAGAUUAACCAUACAUAUACUAGUAGUUCAACU